RNAcentral lists this long non-coding RNA (2481 nucleotides) under Homo sapiens (human). RNAcentral describes it as "HSALNT0285024". Lineage: Eukaryota; Metazoa; Chordata; Mammalia; Primates; Hominidae. The record is from RNAcentral.
AAGAAAUAAACUGUCUUUAUCUGCAGUUGACAUGGCUGCCAAAGAACUGACAAAUGCCUGGUGCAAAGUCCCAGCAUACAAGAUUAAUAUACAAAAGUCAGUUGCUUUCCUAUAUACUAGUAAUGAACAAUUAGAACUUGAAAUGUAAAAGUACCAUUUACAAUAGCAGUCCCCAAAUGCAGAAUGUGAGAAAAGAAUUUUAAUGUAUCACAAAUGUAUGAAACAAUCUCACUGAAAGGGAUGGGGGAAUAAGGUACUGACAUAGGUAAAUUUGGAAAUGAGUGGAGUCUGUAAGACCAAAGGCAAAAGGAACUGUACAUAGCACUCUACUCCAGUUGAUAAAGUUGUUUUCCACAGGGGCACAGGUUUACAAUUUUGAAGCCACUAUAUAUUUAUAUAAUUAAUAAACAAUUAGUAAAAUGGAUGGCAGAUAGUAGGAGACAGGUUUCUCACAGUUGGAGUAGAAGGUUACAAAUAAGCAAGGGGAGGCUAGAAUGAUCCAUGCAGUAAUAGACUGUAGUUGGAGACACUAGUAUAAAUUUAUGUUUAGCCUUAUAUAAAUACAGAUGGUUAUAUACAGAAAUAUUUAUAUUUCCAUAAAUACUUUAUAUAUGUAUGGGUAUUAUAUACACAUAUAUCUUUUUGCUAUGUCAACUGAGAGGGCCUAGAAGCAAUUAUAUUUCAGCAGCAAUCAGUAUGUCUAGCACCCAGAUCUUGUUUUUCUAACACCAUUCUCCAACAUAAGAUACCAGGGCUACUUGGAGAAAUGGCUAAUUCUAGGACUUGGGCAAUAUGAAAGAUAAAGCUAUAGCAUCUUGUAGUGCCAGAAUGUAAGUAAAUACUAAAAAAAAAAAAAAACCCUCUACAACAUAACAAUGGAAGCGUGUCAAAUGAAUACAGGAGCCAACUGAAAGCUCCCAAUGACCAAAGCUGGAACAAUUUGAGCAAAAACAUGUAAAGUAGUAUUGCGUUAAUCCAAAGUAUAAAAUAGUCAUGAGUCUACAUUGAUACAAAUAAACUGAAUAUAUAAAUAAGUGGGGAAUAAGAGUCAAAUAUCCUCUGCAGAAGGAUUCCAAAUAAUUUUUGUCAAUACUCUGCCUUCAAGGAGGUAAUAAUGCCCUACUCCUUAAGUGUGGGCUGCCAAUAGUGACUUUAUUCCAAAGAAUACAGUAUGGAAAGGGAAAAAUAAAACUUAACCUUGGAGAAACCUGACAAACACUACUUCAGUCAGGUUACCAAGGAUAAGAACAGUGGUAAAUAUAUUGAUGGUAUGUCCCCUUUAUAUGAUGAGAAUGGCAUUUUACCUCUGGUCUUCUUCCCAAAACACAUAAUGCCUGUGUAAUCACAAGACAAGCAAACCCAAGUUUUGGGACAUUAUACAAAAUACCUGACCAAUACUUCGUAGAAGUGUCAAGGUCAUCAAAAACAGGCAAAGUCUGAAAAACUCUCACAGCUAAGUGGAGCCUAUGGAGACAUGACGACUAAAUGUAACCUGAAUGGGAUCCUGGAACAGAAAAAGGACAUUAAGGGAAAUCCAAAUAAAGUACGUACUUUAGUUAAUAAUAAUGUAUCAAUAUUGGUUAACAGUGACAAAUGUACCAUACUAAUGUAAGAUGUUAAUAAUAGGGGACAGUGCAUAUGGGAUACUCUGUACUAUCUUUGCAAUAAUUGUGUAGAUCUAAAACCAUCCUAAAAGUUUAUUAAAAAAAAAUACUGUAAGGAAAUAAAAAGCUACUCAAGAGCCAGGGGGAAAAAAUCACAUAGGUAGAUGGGUCUGUUGAAAUAGUAAAGCAGGGCUUAACAGAAAUUUCCUGGGAGACAAUUCCUAAGAAAAAAGUGUUAGCAGACUAGAGAUUAACAAAUGAGAAUAGCACACCAUCUCGUCACUCAGCUUUUCCUCCUGGCUCAAUCUCCACUAUCUAAAUCCGGUGGAAACGGCUAUAUGCAAAAAUAUACACAAAUCAACAAAAAACAUGGAAAGCAGUGUUUUGUAAAAACUUCAUAAAACAUCAAGGCCCAAGUGACAAUUGGGUACUAACAACCUGAGUUAGGAUAAUUCUAUUGUAGGUAGAGAGGGAAUUCUCCACUUUUCUGUUGGGACAGUGUUGCUUAGUCCAUCAUGGUCUUCAGCCCACCAGCAGCAGCUGGGGCCUUAGGAGGGUGCAGGAUCCAUGAGAAGGGGCACACUACCUUUCAAGUAUGGCAUUACCCAGGAAGAGUGGCACCCAUCUCUCAGCUGUCUGGACUUAUUUCUGGGCACAGAUGUCAAGGCUGUCCCUUACAGCAAUGGCUCUGUAAUAACCAUCGAGUUGACUCCUCCAGCUUCCAGUCCCAGAGGAGAAAAAUGGACAGAUGAACAAAAAAGAACAGAAAAAAUCACCCAGAGAUAACCACUGUUAAUCUUUUAGUGGACACAGCUUUCAGAAUUGUUUUCUAUACUAUAUUACUAGAUGAACAUUUCCUACUGAGAACACUGCAUUG